ACACUAUGUGUUGUUGGGUAGGGGAGCGUUCUGUAAGCCUGUGAAGGUGGCCUGUGAGGGUUGCUGGAGGUAUCAGAAGUGCGAAUGCUGACAUAAGUAACGAUAAAGCGGGUGAAAAGCCCGCUCGCCGGAAGACCAAGGGUUCCUGUCCAACGUUAAUCGGGGCAGGGUGAGUCGACCCCUAAGGCGAGGCCGAAAGGCGUAGUCGAUGGGAAACAGGUUAAUAUUCCUGUACUUGGUGUUACUGCGAAGGGGGGACGGAGAAGGCUAUGUUGGCCGGGCGACGGUUGUCCCGGUUUAAGCGUGUAGGCUGGUUUUCCAGGCAAAUCCGGAAAAUCAAGGCUGAGGCGUGAUGACGAGGCACUACGGUGCUGAAGCGACAAAUGCCCUGCUUCCAGGAAAAGCCUCUAAGCAUCAGGUAACAUCAAAUCGUACCCCAAACCGACACAGGUGGUCAGGUAGAGAAUACCAAGGCGCUUGAGAGAACUCGGGUGAAGGAACUAGGCAAAAUGGUGCCGUAACUUCGGGAGAAGGCACGCUGAUAUGUAGGUGAAGCGACUUGCUCGUGGAGCUGAAAUCAGUCGAAGAUACCAGCUGGCUGCAACUGUUUAUUAAAAACACAGCACUGUGCAAACACGAAAGUGGACGUAUACGGUGUGACGCCUGCCCGGUGCCGGAAGGUUAAUUGAUGGGGUUAGCGGUAACGCGAAGCUCUUGAUCGAAGCCCCGGUAAACGGCGGCCGUAACUAUAACGGUCCUAAGGUAGCGAAAUUCCUUGUCGGGUAAGUUCCGACCUGCACGAAUGGCGUAAUGAUGGCCAGGCUGUCUCCACCCGAGACUCAGUGAAAUUGAACUCGCUGUGAAGAUGCAGUGUACCCGCGGCAAGACGGAAAGACCCCGUGAACCUUUACUAUAGCUUGACACUGAACAUUGAGCCUUGAUGUGUAGGAUAGGUGGGAGGCUUUGAAGUGUGGACGCCAGUCUGCAUGGAGCCGACCUUGAAAUACCACCCUUUAAUGUUUGAUGUUCUAACGUGGGCCCCUUACCGGGGUUGCGGACAGUGUCUGGUGGGUAGUUUGACUGGGGCGGUCUCCUCCUAAAGAGUAACGGAGGAGCACGAAGGUUGGCUAAUCCUGGUCGGACAUCAGGAGGUUAGUGCAAUGGCAUAAGCCAGCUUGACUGCGAGCGUGACGGCGCGAGCAGGUGCGAAAGCAGGUCAUAGUGAUCCGGUGGUUCUGAAUGGAAGGGCCAUCGCUCAACGGAUAAAAGGUACUCCGGGGAUAACAGGCUGAUACCGCCCAAGAGUUCAUAUCGACGGCGGUGUUUGGCACCUCGAUGUCGGCUCAUCACAUCCUGGGGCUGAAGUAGGUCCCAAGGGUAUGGCUGUUCGCCAUUUAAAGUGGUACGCGAGCUGGGUUUAGAACGUCGUGAGACAGUUCGGUCCCUAUCUGCCGUGGGCGCUGGAGAACUGAGGGGGGCUGCUCCUAGUACGAGAGGACCGGAGUGGACGCAUCACUGGUGUUCGGGUUGUCAUGCCAAUGGCACUGCCCGGUAGCUAAAUGCGGAAGAGAUAAGUGCUGAAAGCAUCUAAGCACGAAACUUGCCCCGAGAUGAGUUCUCCCUGACUCCUUGAGAGUCCUGAAGGAACGUUGAAGACGACGACGUUGAUAGGCCGGGUGUGUAAGCGCAGCGAUGCGUUGAGCUAACCGGUACUAAUGAACCGUGAGGCUUAACCUU
Molecule: ribosomal RNA, 1737 nt
Filed under: Escherichia coli
Lineage: Bacteria; Pseudomonadati; Pseudomonadota; Gammaproteobacteria; Enterobacterales; Enterobacteriaceae
Description: partial 23S ribosomal RNA
Rfam family: Bacterial large subunit ribosomal RNA
Source: RNAcentral